UAUUACAGAAGAUAAUUACAGCUUUUGACGUCUUGAAUAAGGGAAGGAGAAUGGUUAUGAAGGGUUUUGAAUCCAAAAGUUAAUUUUAAUUUAAAUGUACUCGCGAUUCACAUAAAGCCGGAUGAACACAUGCGGGGAGCGGCAAGGAAAAGCGGUGUCGCAAACGCGUCUUUGUCGCGCGGCAAACGCCAAUCUCUCUACAUUUCGGCGCAUGCGCAAAAUAUUCAAGAUGGCGGGUGAUUCCAAUUCUGCUGCUCUCCUCAUGCUUACCAAUUUCGUUUUGUACACAUCACUUUAUGUGUGUAGAAGACGUCGACAAAGAAGAUUUGACCGGAGAUUUUCUUAGAUCGAGAGAGAACUGGUGUUCAAAAUACACUUAUUCGUCGUCUAAGAAUACUACUUCGAUUUCCUUAUACCCCGUUCGCACCGAGCAUUUCGAUCUAGAUUGUGACAGGUCGGAGAGAGUUCCUUGGUGCGAACGCUCUCGACCGUUUCAAUCUCGACUGAAACGAGGUUCUAUCGCGAUCGACUGGAGAGAGUUCUUGAAACUAGAUCCAGUCAUAAGAGAGAUCCCACAAUCCCACGCGCGCGA
Centruroides sculpturatus (bark scorpion) is the source of this 592-nucleotide long non-coding RNA. RefSeq lists it as uncharacterized. NCBI's taxonomy places the organism in Eukaryota, Metazoa, Arthropoda, Arachnida, Scorpiones, Buthidae. The transcript has 2 exons. The record is from RefSeq and is a predicted model, not a curated record.